GACAGAGGGUGCAAACGUUGUUCGGAAUUACUGGGCGUAAAGCGCGUGUAGGCGGCCCUGCAAGUCGGAUGUGAGAUCCCACGGCUCAACCGUGGAAGUGCAUUCGAAACUGCAGGGCUAGAGUCCUGGAGAGGAAGGUGGAAUGCUUGGUGUAGAGGUGAAAUUCGUAGAUAUCAAGCGGAACACCGGUGGCGAAGGCGGCCUUCUGGACAGUGACUGACGCUGAGACGCGAAAGCGUGGGGAGCAAACAGG
RNAcentral lists this ribosomal RNA (253 nucleotides) under uncultured bacterium. Its description in RNAcentral is "partial 16S ribosomal RNA". It matches the Rfam family "Bacterial small subunit ribosomal RNA", at positions 524 to 776 of the family's 1533-position model. The record is from RNAcentral.